RNAcentral lists this ribosomal RNA (693 nucleotides) under uncultured marine archaeon. RNAcentral describes it as "bacterial SSU rRNA". It matches the Rfam family "Archaeal small subunit ribosomal RNA", at positions 70 to 764 of the family's 1478-position model. The record is from RNAcentral.
AGCAAUACAAGGCAUACGGCUCAGUAACGCGUAGUCAACCUAACCUAUGGACGGGAAUAACCUCAGGAAACUGAGAAUAAUGCCCGAUAGAACAUUAUGCCUGGAAUGGUUUAUGUUCCAAAUGAUUUAUCGCCGUAGGAUGGGACUGCGGCCUAUCAGUUUGUUGGUGAGGUAAUGGCCCACCAAGACUAUUACAGGUACGGGCUCUGAGAGGAGUAGCCCGGAGAUGGGUACUGAGACACGGACCCAGGCCCUAUGGGGCGCAGCAGGCGAGAAAACUUUGCAAUGUGCGAAAGCACGACAAGGUUAAUCCGAGUGGUUUCUGCUAAAGGAACCUUUUGUCAGUCCUAGAAACACUGAUGAAUAAGGGGUGGGCAAGUUCUGGUGUCAGCCGCCGCGGUAAAACCAGCACCUCAAGUGGUCAGGAUGAUUAUUGGGCCUAAAGCAUCCGUAGCCGGCUCUGUAAGUUUUCGGUUAAAUCUGUACGCUCAACGUACAGGCUGCCGGGAAUACUGCAAAGCUAGGGAGUGGGAGAGGUAGACGGUACUCGGUAGGAAGGGGUAAAAUCCUUUGAUCUAUUGAUGACCACCUGUGGCGAAGGCGGUCUACCAGAACACGUCCGACGGUGAGGGAUGAAAGCUGGGGGAGCAAACCGGAUUAGAUACCCGGGUAGUCCCAGCUGUAAACCAUGCA